Long non-coding RNA from Apis dorsata (giant honeybee), 477 nucleotides. RefSeq lists it as uncharacterized. The transcript has 2 exons. Lineage: Eukaryota; Metazoa; Arthropoda; Insecta; Hymenoptera; Apidae. The record is from RefSeq and is a predicted model, not a curated record.
AAUUGUAUUAUUGACUCUCAAGUAUAAUAUACGGUCACGAAUGAAACAGUUUUCAAUCGUAUAAACGUUAUUUCCAUUCGAAUUUUUGCUCAAAAAAAUGUCAAUCGUAACUUGAAUUUCUAAUUUGCAUGUAAUGAAAACGCGAAUAACAUUAAUAAAUAAGAAUUAUUUUCUAAAUCAUCGUUUUUCGUAAUUUUUUUCGCGUCGACUCUCAAAUAUAAUAUACGGUCACGAGUGAAACAGUUUUCGAUCGUAUAAACAUUAUUUCCAUUCGAAUUUUUGCUCAAAAAAAUGUCAAUCGUAACCUGAAUUUCUAAUUUGAAUGUAAUGAAAAAGCGAAUAACAUCAAUAAAUAAGAAUUAUUUUCUAAAUCAUCGUUUUUCGUAAUUUUUUUCGCGUCGACUCUCAAGUAUAAUAUACGGUCACGAGUGAAACAGUUUUCGAUCGUAUAAACGUUAUUUCUUUUCGAAUUUUUCC